UGGUAAGUAGUUUAAACAAAACAAAUGAUUUCGACUCAUUAAAUUAUGGCAACCAUACUAACCAA
This 65-nucleotide transfer RNA is filed under the name Cercopithecus neglectus (De Brazza's monkey). RNAcentral describes it as "tRNA-Arg". It matches the Rfam family "tRNA". Rfam says of the family: Transfer RNA (tRNA) molecules are approximately 80 nucleotides in length. Their secondary structure includes four short double-helical elements and three loops (D, anti-codon, and T loops). The record is from RNAcentral. RNAcentral also lists the same sequence under 2 other names. Lineage: Eukaryota; Metazoa; Chordata; Mammalia; Primates; Cercopithecidae.